CUGACCUUCUGACAAUUCAUCAGAAGGAAGAUCCUCUCCUACCAGACCAUGGUUGACCACAGGAGCCAGAGAUCACAGAGCAGAGAAUUAAAAUUGCCUUCUCCUCACUGGAACCUGAGGUAGUUGAAGAGGUAUUUGGUUGAGAAGUCAGACCGAGUGGCUGAACGUUCAAGAGCACCUGUUUAUGAUUGCUUUUUGCCUCCAGGUACUGUCCAUUUCCAGAAAUAACUAACUCAUCCAAAGACGAUGAUCUUUCUACCCUGUGAUCUCAACAAAGACCACAGACUCUGCUUAAACGGGCUGUGAGUUGUGGACCUCACUGCUUCCAAAUGGAUACUUUUCAAAGGCUGAAACCAGAUGGCCAGUUCUACUUGUCACUGCAUCUAGCACAUUCUGAGUGGUUGGCCUGAAAAAUGAUACGCUUGCAGCGUAUUCCAGUCCCAUCCUCUUCUCCUCUGCGCUUAUACCCAAGUCACGUAAAGAAACCACUUACCCCACCAAAGACAUGCUCACUUUCUAGGACUCAAAUUUUAGGGAUUCUUUUAUCCCUGACCACCAGACUACAUUGACAAGAUGUCAGAUUCUGCUGAACUCCAAUACACACAGGUUUGCUUCUUUAUCCCUUAGGCAACUGUCAUAAUUUUUUUUUUAAAUAUACACAUGCAAAAAGGUGAAUUUAAAACGUUCUCCUACAAAAGU
Canis lupus familiaris (dog) is the source of this 699-nucleotide long non-coding RNA. RefSeq lists it as uncharacterized. NCBI's taxonomy places the organism in Eukaryota, Metazoa, Chordata, Mammalia, Carnivora, Canidae. The transcript has 4 exons. The record is from RefSeq and is a predicted model, not a curated record.